RNAcentral lists this ribosomal RNA (253 nucleotides) under uncultured bacterium. RNAcentral describes it as "partial 16S ribosomal RNA". It matches the Rfam family "Bacterial small subunit ribosomal RNA", at positions 524 to 776 of the family's 1533-position model. The record is from RNAcentral.
UACAGAGGUCCCAAGCGUUGUUCGGAUUCAUUGGGCGUAAAGGGUGCGUAGGCGGCGCGGUAAGUCGGGUGUGAAAUCUCGGGGCUUAACUCCGAAACUGCAUUCGAUACUGCCGUGCUUGAGGACUGGAGAGGAGACUGGAAUUUACGGUGUAGCGGUGAAAUGCGUAGAGAUCGGAAAGAACACCAACGGCGAAAGCACUCUGCUGGGCCGACACUGACACUGAGAGACGAAAGCUAGGGGAGCGAAUGGG